This 108-nucleotide small RNA is filed under the name Sinorhizobium fredii NGR234. Its description in RNAcentral is "Alphaproteobacterial sRNA ar35". It matches the Rfam family "Alphaproteobacterial sRNA ar35", at positions 29 to 144 of the family's 144-position model. The record is from Rfam by way of RNAcentral. Lineage: Bacteria; Pseudomonadati; Pseudomonadota; Alphaproteobacteria; Hyphomicrobiales; Rhizobiaceae.
AAUCGGCGCCUACACUCUCCUUACUGUCCCUCUCGUCGUUGACCACGGAUGUACUGGCAGCGGCGGGAGGGACGAUGAAAGGUCGGGCUGAGCCCGGCCUUUUUGUUU